Molecule: ribosomal RNA, 721 nt
Filed under: Shigella sp.
Lineage: Bacteria; Pseudomonadati; Pseudomonadota; Gammaproteobacteria; Enterobacterales; Enterobacteriaceae
Description: bacterial SSU rRNA
Rfam family: Bacterial small subunit ribosomal RNA
Source: RNAcentral
GAUUGAACGCUGGCGGCAGGCCUAACACAUGCAAGUCGAACGGUAACAGGAAGCAGCUUGCUUCUUGCUGACGAGUGGCGGACGGGUGAGUAAUGUCUGGGAAACUGCCUGAUGGAGGGGGAUAACUACUGGAAACGGUAGCUAAUACCGCAUAACGUCGCAAGACCAAAGAGGGGGACCUUCGGGCCUCUUGCCAUCGGAUGUGCCCAGAUGGGAUUAGCUUGUGGUGGGGUAACGGCUCACCAGGCGACGAUCCCUAGCUGGUCUGAGAGGAUGACCAGCCACACUGGAACUGAGACACGGUCCAGACUCCUACGGGAGGCAGCAGUGGGGAAUAUUGCACAAUGGGCGCAAGCCUGAUGCAGCCAUGCCGCGUGUAUGAAGAAGGCCUUCGGGUUGUAAAGUACUUUCAGCGGGGAGGAAGGGAGUAAAGUUAAUACCUUUGCUCAUUGACGUUACCCGCAGAAGAAGCACCGGCUAACUCCGUGCCAGCAGCCGCGGUAAUACGGAGGGUGCAAGCGUUAAUCGGAAUUACUGGGCGUAAAGCGCACGCAGGCGGUUUGUUAAGUCAGAUGUGAAAUCCCCGGGCUCAACCUGGGAACUGCAUCUGAUACUGGCAAGCUUGAGUCUCGUAGAGGGGGGUAGAAUUCCAGGUGUAGCGGUGAAAUGCGUAGAGAUCUGGAGGAAUACCGGUGGCGAAGGCGGCCCCCUGACGAAGACU